This 831-nucleotide long non-coding RNA is filed under the name Rattus norvegicus (Norway rat). RNAcentral's name for it is "long non-coding RNA NONRATT022749". Lineage: Eukaryota; Metazoa; Chordata; Mammalia; Rodentia; Muridae. The record is from RNAcentral.
CAGCUCGGAGAGCACUCGAUCCUACAGACGGGGAGGCCGGAAUCUGGAAGACGGUCCCGCUGCCCGGCUGCCUCUGUGUAGAAGGAACAUUCCGGUUGGCCUCAUGGAAGGAGAUGGUUCAAAGAUUGGGGUUCUCCCGGCAAGUUCCCUGCAACUCUCACAUGACUAGCUCCUCGCUGAUUCCUCUGCAUGGCCCACACUGGACCCCAACAUUCAGUGCUUGGACUUGAGACCACAGAUCUGGGAGCUCACCUUUUGGGAACCAUGACCCUGCCAAGGACACUGGCCCGUCUGUGUUGGAGCUGAUGUCCUGGGCCAGGCAGCUCUGGAGUUAGGUCUGACAGUGUCUGGGCUGGGUUAAGUUACACAAUCCUCAGUAUUCACCAUACAGGAUUGUGCUCCCCCUACCAGGGUGGGGUCCACUCACCAUCAUUCACACCCAGGUACUGUCUUGUAGCCACGUAUCAAUCUGGUGAUUCUCUUUAGUGAAGUCUAACUUCGGGUCCAGACCUUUGCUAGGUACCACAGAUGCCACAAGAGUAAGACACACGUCCUGCAGGUGUGGGCUCCUCAUUGGAAAGCUGGGCCCAAGAACUGCCGUGGAACGAGCAGAGCCAGAUGCAGAGGGAAGGCUCUGGGCUCAGGGCCAGGACGGACAUCAGCUGGUCUCCUGUCUGGUCACUGCAGUUGUUAACAACCCAGAUCUAGGUGGUCAAGGCCUGUGGUGGACAGGCUAAACUACUCCGAAUGGCUCCCUUAGAGACCAGCCUUACCCUCCCUGGGGUCCCCAGCCUGGAAGUAGAAGAUGACUCACCUGCCUUCCUUGAUUCA